GGUUCGUCCAGGUCCAGGUCUAGGUCCGUGGGCCGGGACAGUUCAAGUGGUCGUUCAUACAGGUCCAUGGGCCGGGACAGUUCAAGUAGUCGUGUACCCAGGUCCCAAGCCGUGGAGAGCAGGUCCUUAGAUGUUUUUUCACAUGCAAGGCCCAUUUACAGUAAGGCUGUGCCAACCACAUUCCCCCUGUCAGAAGCGA
This is a long non-coding RNA of Rhinichthys klamathensis goyatoka, 199 nucleotides long. RefSeq lists it as uncharacterized. The transcript has 4 exons. The record is from RefSeq and is a predicted model, not a curated record. NCBI's taxonomy places the organism in Eukaryota, Metazoa, Chordata, Actinopteri, Cypriniformes, Leuciscidae.